RNAcentral lists this ribosomal RNA (253 nucleotides) under uncultured bacterium. Its description in RNAcentral is "partial 16S ribosomal RNA". It matches the Rfam family "Bacterial small subunit ribosomal RNA", at positions 524 to 776 of the family's 1533-position model. The record is from RNAcentral.
UACGUAGGGGGCAAGCGUUGUCCGGAAUCAUUGGGCGUAAAGAGCGCGUAGGCGGUCCGGUAAGUCCGCUGUAAAAGUCAAGGGCUCAACCCUUGAAAGCCGGUGGAUACUGCCGGGCUAGAGUCCGGAAGAGGCGAGUGGAAUUCCUGGUGUAGCGGUGAAAUGCGCAGAUAUCAGGAGGAACACCGAUGGCGAAGGCAGGUCUCUGGGCAUUAACUGACGCUGAGGAGCGAAAGCAUGGGGAGCGAACAGG